CCUACGGGAGGCUGCAGUGGGGAAUAUUGGGCAAUGGGCGCAAGCCUGACCCAGCAACGCCGCGUGAAGGAAGAAGGCUUUCGGGUUGUAAACUUCUUUUGACAGGGAAGAGCAGAAGACGGUACCUGUCGAAUAAGCCACGGCUAACUACGUGCCAGCAGCCGCGGUAAUACGGAGGUGGCAAGCGUUGUCCGGAUUUACUGGGUGGAAAGGGCGUGUAGCCGGGCGGUCAAGUCAGAUGUGAAAUCCGGGGGCUCAACCCCCGAACUGCAUUUGAAACUGUUUGUCUUGAGUAUCGGAGAGGCAGGCGGAAUUCCUAGUGUAGCGGUGAAAUGCGUAGAUAUUAGGAGGAACACCGGUGGCGAAGGCGGCCUGCUGGACGACAACUGACGGUGAGGCGCGAAAGCGUGGGGAGCAAACAGGAUUAGAUACCCGAGUAGUC
RNAcentral lists this ribosomal RNA (442 nucleotides) under uncultured bacterium. RNAcentral describes it as "partial 16S ribosomal RNA". It matches the Rfam family "Bacterial small subunit ribosomal RNA", at positions 338 to 795 of the family's 1533-position model. The record is from RNAcentral.